GUCCACGCCGUAAACGGUGGGUGCUAGGUGUGAGCGGUAUUCCACGCCGUUCGUGCCGCAGCUAACGCAUUAAGCACCCCGCCUGGGGAGUACGGCCGCAAGGCUAAAACUCAAAGGAAUUGACGGGGGCCCGCACAAGCAGCGGAGCAUGUGGCUUAAUUCGACGCAACGCGAAGAACCUUACCAAGGCUUGACAUGCAGGGAAAUCCUCCAGAGAUGGGGGUCCGCAAGGGUCCUGCACAGGUGGUGCAUGGUUGUCGU
RNAcentral lists this ribosomal RNA (261 nucleotides) under uncultured bacterium. RNAcentral describes it as "partial 16S ribosomal RNA". It matches the Rfam family "Bacterial small subunit ribosomal RNA", at positions 793 to 1055 of the family's 1533-position model. The record is from RNAcentral.